UGCAGUCGAGCGGACAGAAGGGAGCUUGCUCCCGGAUGUUAGCGGCGGACGGGUGAGUAACACGUGGGUAACCUGCCUGUAAGACUGGGAUAACUCCGGGAAACCGGAGCUAAUACCGGAUAGUUCCUUGAACCGCAUGGUUCAAGGAUGAAAGACGGUUUCGGCUGUCACUUACAGAUGGACCCGCGGCGCAUUAGCUAGUUGGUGGGGUAAUGGCUCACCAAGGCGACGAUGCGUAGCCGACCUGAGAGGGUGAUCGGCCACACUGGGACUGAGACACGGCCCAGACUCCUACGGGAGGCAGCAGUAGGGAAUCUUCCGCAAUGGACGAAAGUCUGACGGAGCAACGCCGCGUGAGUGAUGAAGGUUUUCGGAUCGUAAAGCUCUGUUGUUAGGGAAGAACAAGUGCGAGAGUAACUGCUCGCACCUUGACGGUACCUAACCAGAAAGCCACGGCUAACUACGUGCCAGCAGCCGCGGUAAUACGUAGGUGGCAAGCGUUGUCCGGAAUUAUUGGGCGUAAAGGGCUCGCAGGCGGUUUCUUAAGUCUGAUGUGAAAGCCCCCGGCUCAACCGGGGAGGGUCAUUGGAAACUGGGAAACUUGAGUGCAGAAGAGGAGAGUGGAAUUCCACGUGUAGCGGUGAAAUGCGUAGAGAUGUGGAGGAACACCAGUGGCGAAGGCGACUCUCUGGUCUGUAACUGACGCUGAGGAGCGAAAGCGUGGGGAGCGAACAGGAUUAGAUACCCUGGUAGUCCACGCCGUAAACGAUGAGUGCUAAGUGUUAGGGGGUUUCCGCCCCUUAGUGCUGCAGCUAACGCAUUAAGCACUCCGCCUGGGGAGUACGGUCGCAAGACUGAAACUCAAAGGAAUUGACGGGGGCCCGCACAAGCGGUGGAGCAUGUGGUUUAAUUCGAAGCAACGCGAAGAACCUUACCAGGUCUUGACAUCCUCUGACAACCCUAGAGAUAGGGCUUUCCCUUCGGGGACAGAGUGACAGGUGGUGCAUGGUUGUCGUCAGCUCGUGUCGUGAGAUGUUGGGUUAAGUCCCGCAACGAGCGCAACCCUUGAUCUUAGUUGCCAGCAUUUAGUUGGGCACUCUAAGGUGACUGCCGGUGACAAACCGGAGGAAGGUGGGGAUGACGUCAAAUCAUCAUGCCCCUUAUGACCU
RNAcentral lists this ribosomal RNA (1169 nucleotides) under Bacillus sp. NCCP-85. RNAcentral describes it as "bacterial SSU rRNA". It matches the Rfam family "Bacterial small subunit ribosomal RNA", at positions 56 to 1210 of the family's 1533-position model. The record is from RNAcentral. Lineage: Bacteria; Bacillati; Bacillota; Bacilli; Caryophanales; Bacillaceae.